This 326-nucleotide small RNA is filed under the name Pan troglodytes (chimpanzee). Its description in RNAcentral is "processed transcript". Lineage: Eukaryota; Metazoa; Chordata; Mammalia; Primates; Hominidae. The record is from RNAcentral.
UCUGUCAUUGGAUAGAUCCUAAGUGAAAUUAGAUAUAAAAGAGAAAUGAAUUGAAUUUACUGGACAACAUUCUUCAGAUCUGCUGGGACAUAUUUUCAUUUUCUUGAGCAUCUCAACAUCUUUUGUGAAAAAGGAGAACGUGGAUGUCACUGGCUUUCACUUCACGUUUUAGGUCAGCGCUGCUUUUGGGGUGAAAGAAGACCAUCAGCAAACCUCAGCCUUGCGGCCGGGACUCCCCCGUCUUCUGUCGGAGUCCGCCGGUCCGCAGCCUGCGGCAGGGAGGCCCGGGCACCCGCAGGUGGCGCCCCACGUCCGUGUUUGCGCCC